RNAcentral lists this ribosomal RNA (484 nucleotides) under uncultured bacterium. Its description in RNAcentral is "partial 16S ribosomal RNA". It matches the Rfam family "Bacterial small subunit ribosomal RNA", at positions 28 to 507 of the family's 1533-position model. The record is from RNAcentral.
AUUGAACGCUGGCGGCAUGCUUUACACAUGCAAGUCGAACGGCAGCGCGGGCUUCGGCCUGGCGGCGAGUGGCGAACGGGUGAGUAAUGCAUCGGAACGUGCCCAGUAGUGGGGGAUAGCCCGGCGAAAGCCGGAUUAAUACCGCAUACGACCUGAUGGUGAAAGCGGGGGACCGAAAGGCCUCGCGCUAUUGGAGCGGCCGAUGUCGGAUUAGCUAGUUGGUGGGGUAAAGGCUUACCAAGGCGACGAUCCGUAGCUGGUCUGAGAGGACGACCAGCCACACUGGGACUGAGGCACGGCCCAGACUCCGACGGGAGGCAGCAGUGGGGAAUUUUGGACAAUGGGGGCAACCCUGAUCCAGCCAUGCCGCGUGCGGGAAGAAGGCCUUCGGGUUGUAAACCGCUUUUGUUCGGGAAGAAAUCCUCUGGGCUAAUACCCCGGGGGGAUGACGGUACCGGAAGAAUAAGCACCGGCUAACUACGUG